CAAUAGCGUAUAUUUAAGUUGUUGCAGUUAAAAAGCUCGUAGUUGGAUUUCGGGUUGGCUUCAGCGGUCUCGCUUUGCGCUUGUACUGCCGCAGCCUUCCUUCUUGCUGGGGACGGUCCUCCGGGCUUCAUUGCUUGGGGUCUGGAAUCAGCGACGUUACUUUGAGUAAAUUAGAGUGUUCAAAGCAAGCCUACGCUCUGAAUAUAAUAGCAUGGGAUAACACGACAGGACUCUGGCCUAUCGUGUUGGUCUGUAGGACCAGAGUAAUGAUUAAGAGGGACAGUCGGGGGCAUUCGUAUUCCGUUGUCAGAGGUGAAAUUCUUGGAUUUACGGAAGACGAACAUCUGCGAAAGCAUUUGCCAAGGAUGUUUUCAUUGA
This 378-nucleotide ribosomal RNA is filed under the name uncultured eukaryote. Its description in RNAcentral is "partial 18S ribosomal RNA". It matches the Rfam family "Eukaryotic small subunit ribosomal RNA", at positions 592 to 976 of the family's 1831-position model. The record is from RNAcentral.